CCCCUCUCAGGAUGGCACCUGGAGAGUUUCCAGUACUCUACCAGUCUCGACUACGAGAGGGAGAGUAAAGCAGAGGCCUACCCGUUCCACUCCCAGCUUGGCCAGUGGCUAGCGAGUGGCGGGCCGUCUGCUACAAGU
Small nucleolar RNA from Ornithorhynchus anatinus (platypus), 138 nucleotides. Lineage: Eukaryota; Metazoa; Chordata; Mammalia; Monotremata; Ornithorhynchidae. The record is from RefSeq and is a predicted model, not a curated record.